CGGGACGGGUGAGUAACGCGUGGGUAACCUGCCUCAUACAGGGGGAUAACAGUUAGAAAUGACUGCUAAUACCGCAUAAGCGCACGGUGUCGCAUGACACAGUGUGAAAAACUCCGGUGGUAUGAGAUGGACCCGCGUCUGAUUAGCUAGUUGGCGAGGUAACGGCCCACCAAGGCGAUGAUGGGUAGCCGGCCUGAGAGGGUGAACGGCCACAAGGGGACUGAGACACGGCCCUU
RNAcentral lists this ribosomal RNA (236 nucleotides) under uncultured bacterium. RNAcentral's name for it is "partial 16S ribosomal RNA". It matches the Rfam family "Bacterial small subunit ribosomal RNA", at positions 100 to 334 of the family's 1533-position model. The record is from RNAcentral.